UCGCUAGUAAUCGCGGAUCAGCAUGCCGCGGUGAAUACGUUCCCGGGCCUUGUACACACCGCCCGUCACACCACGAGAGUUGGUAACACCCGAAGUCGGUGAGGUAACCUUUUUGGAGCCAGCCGCCGAAGGUGGGACGAAUGAUUGGGGUGAAGUCGUAACAAGGUAGCCGUAUCGGAAGGUGCGGCUGG
Molecule: ribosomal RNA, 191 nt
Filed under: Tigheibacillus halophilus
Lineage: Bacteria; Bacillati; Bacillota; Bacilli; Caryophanales; Bacillaceae
Description: Virgibacillus halophilus partial 16S ribosomal RNA
Rfam family: Bacterial small subunit ribosomal RNA
Source: RNAcentral